GGUGGCUCAGUGGUACAGCGCUUGCCUUACAUGCAUGAAGCCCUGGGUUUGAUUCCUCAGCACCA
Molecule: transfer RNA, 65 nt
Filed under: Dipodomys ordii (Ord's kangaroo rat)
Lineage: Eukaryota; Metazoa; Chordata; Mammalia; Rodentia; Heteromyidae
Rfam family: tRNA
About the family: Transfer RNA (tRNA) molecules are approximately 80 nucleotides in length. Their secondary structure includes four short double-helical elements and three loops (D, anti-codon, and T loops).
Source: Rfam by way of RNAcentral